Molecule: ribosomal RNA, 458 nt
Filed under: uncultured beta proteobacterium
Lineage: Bacteria; Pseudomonadati; Pseudomonadota; Betaproteobacteria
Description: bacterial SSU rRNA
Rfam family: Bacterial small subunit ribosomal RNA
Source: RNAcentral
GAAAGCAGGGGAUCGUAAGACCUUGUGCUUUUGGAGUGGCCGAUGCCUGAUUAGCUAGUUGGUAGGGUAAUGGCCUACCAAGGCGACGAUCAGUAGUUGGUUUGAGAGGACGACCAGCCACACUGGGACUGAGACACGGCCCAGACUCCUACGGGAGGCAGCAGUGGGGAAUUUUGGACAAUGGGCGCAAGCCUGAUCCAGCAAUGCCGCGUGAGUGAAGAAGGCCUUCGGGUUGUAAAGCUCUUUCAGUUGAGAAGAAAAGGUUGUGACUAAUAAUCACAACUCAUGACGGUAUCGACAGAAGAAGCACCGGCUAACUACGUGCCAGCAGCCGCGGUAAUACGUAGGGUGCGAGCGUUAAUCGGAAUUACUGGGCGUAAAGGGUGCGCAGGCGGCUUUGUAAGUCAGAUGUGAAAUCCCCGGGCUUAACCUGGGAAUUGCGUUUGAAACUACAAGGC